RNAcentral lists this small nuclear RNA (107 nucleotides) under Jaculus jaculus (lesser Egyptian jerboa). The record is from RNAcentral. Lineage: Eukaryota; Metazoa; Chordata; Mammalia; Rodentia; Dipodidae.
GUGCUUGCUUCAGCAGCAUAUAUACUAAAAUUGGAACGAUACAGAGAAGAUUAGCAUGGCCCCUGCUCAAGGAUGAUACACAAAUUCAUGAAGCAUUCCAUAUAAAA